UAUUGAAAUUUUUUAUAAAUUGAUUGACAGGAGACAAUAUAUUGAUUUUUAUAUCAUCAUAUAUUCCAAAGAUCAUAAUGUUUUUUUUCUCAUAACAAUUUUAAGAUUUGGAAUUUAAAGAUAUGUGAAGUAUAAAUCAUUUUCUUUUUGAAAAUAUCCUAUAUUUGAAAAAUUUAAAUACCUAAAUGCUCAAGAUAAAUUGUAUUAAAACUGGAUAUUUAUUUUAUUUUUAUGUAAUCAACGAACUGGUGGACAAAAUUUUAGAAAAAAAACCAUAGCAUUUUAUUGCUAUAGAUAUAGAAAAAACAUUGUAGAGUUAGUAGGAAUCAAUUUUGUUUGUCAAACUGUUAUGAAAUAAGUGUUGCAAUUUGACAAUGUUAAUUAUGAAUAGCCUACAGAAACUGGAGAUUAUGAUAUAAAUGACAAAC
Molecule: long non-coding RNA, 428 nt
Filed under: Mytilus galloprovincialis (Mediterranean mussel)
Lineage: Eukaryota; Metazoa; Mollusca; Bivalvia; Mytilida; Mytilidae
Source: RNAcentral